Molecule: unclassified non-coding RNA, 375 nt
Filed under: soil metagenome
Description: partial contains 5.8S ribosomal RNA, internal transcribed spacer 2, and large subunit ribosomal RNA
Rfam family: 5.8S ribosomal RNA (bases 1-120)
Source: RNAcentral
GAUGAAGAACGUAGCGAAAUGCGAUAAGUAAUGCGAAUUGCAGAAUUCAGUGAAUCAUCGAAUCUUUGAACGCACAUUGCGCCCGCCAGUAUUCUGGCGGGCAUGCCUGUUCGAGCGUCAUUUCAACCCUCAAGACCCCUUCGGGGGACUUGGUGUUGGGGACCGGCACAGGGGCCUGCCUGCUUGUCUUGCAGCGCCCUCGCCGCCCCCGAAAUGAAUUGGCGGCCUCGUCGCGGCCUCCCCUGCGUAGUAGCACAAACCUCGCAACGGGAACGUGACGGCGGCCACUGCCGUAAAACAACCCAAUUUUAUUAGAGUUGACCUCGAAUCAGGUAGGAAUACCCGCUGAACUUAAGCAUAUCAAUAAGCGGAGGA